This is a non-coding RNA of Malus domestica (apple), 1325 nucleotides long. NCBI's taxonomy places the organism in Eukaryota, Viridiplantae, Streptophyta, Magnoliopsida, Rosales, Rosaceae. The record is from RefSeq and is a predicted model, not a curated record.
CAAAAAAAAAAAAAGAUGAUUAUAGUGAGGAAAACAGAAGGGCAAGUUCCAAAUCUUUUUUGAUGAGGAGAAACAAAUCUUUGGUUGCAUGAAAACAGAAGAGCGUUUGUUUUUCUUUGGGUGAAGAUGGCACAUGAGCGGCACUACAUGCAGUACCAUCUUUUAUACAGCAAGUGCCUAUAUAAAUUUUGAGUUUUGGAUACUCUGUGUGUCAUCAUCUUCACCCCGUGCUCUCUCUCAACUUUCUGUCUGAUUUCUUUCUUCCUCUGCAAAUCUUACCUGCUUUGUUUCUUCAACUGGGUUUUUCUCUUGGAAGCUGCUUUUUUGGAAAGUGCUUUUUUAUUCUGGAGUUGGCUCUUCUGGUUGACUUAGAGAAAGAGAGGAAGUAAAAAAUGGAGAGUAACAAUAAGAAGCCGGGCAAUUCAGGUUCCUCAUUGACUGCUGAUCUUUUUGGUACCAAGGAAUCUCCUCCCAAGUCUUCUACUGGGAUUUUUGCUUCCAUUUUCCCACCUCCAUCACAGGUGGUUGGGAGGAACUCUUCAAUCUCUGAGCUGACAGAAUAUUGGCAGCAGCAGUCCUUGAGAAAUCAUGCACGGAACACCAAGCAAGGUACUGCAGUUUAUUGCCUCGGCCUUUGCCUUUUUCUCGAACUAUAUAGCUAUAAGUAGCGAAGGUGCACGCUAUAGCGUACCCAACAAGGACCGGAGUUCAGUCCUUCAGGAAGAAAGAGCAGAACCAUGUUAUCUAAGUUCAUCUAUUUACUAUGGUGGGCAAGAGGUGUAUUCCCAGUCCCCAAGGACCCAUGCCUCUGGAUCCUAUCCUAUAUUCAAGAAAGAUGCGGGAGAAGAUGAUCCAAAUGGAACCAACUCGAACAGUGCCGCCCGAGGAAAUUGGUGGCAAGGUUCGCUCUAUUAUUAGGACUUCCCCUUCACUGGCCAUAUGAAUUCUUCAUCUAUUUUCAAGGAAUUCACUAGGCCUGGGGUUUUAAGUAUGGAAGUGUAAUAUAAAUAAGUGGCUGAUGUGCGCAUUGGCUGCUAAAGACGCUGGACAGGAAGUGCAAGCUUUUAUGUCGGUAUGGUCAACUGUUCCAUUGGACUUUUUAUCAAGAAGAUGGUUUCCGAAAAUGUAAUGUUCUUACUACUCUCCGCCGAACUAUGUUUCUGUGUGUAGUUUGAAAGUUGUUUACCCUGUUAAAUUAAAGCCUGUGGAGGACUCACGGGCGAAUGAUAUGAGCCCGUUGCUCUUUCAUUGUGAACAUAUAUGCUUGAAGUGACUACGGUUUCUUAUGCAAUGUGUUUUGUAUUAUGAUGCGUUUACGGUUUGUU